GGGGCUGACUGGAAUCGACAGGAAAUGUAGUCGGUCAAUAAGCAUGCCGCAGCACGGUAGCUCACUGCGUUAUCAAAUGGUUAUCGAUCCAUAAAUGGCAAUACUUCUUUUGCCGUUGCUGCUUAAUUCUAGGAAUUAAUUAGCAUCUGCACACGGGACUGACGUCCGAUAAAUCCCUCCUGUGCAUCAAACCCAUCGGGCUGGGCCGGUAUUUUUUCCGCAUACUGGUCGAGACAAACAGGAAAUAAGGAUGUUCAAGGUCGUCUCCUAACCUCUGGUCAUCCUGACAAUCCAACUGGAGACUAAGCAUGUAGAAAGUUGUCAGGUUCUUUCUCUGGACCGGGGUUCGAAUCCCCGCAGCUCCACUU
This 368-nucleotide transfer-messenger RNA is filed under the name Saprospiraceae. RNAcentral describes it as "UBA3362 sp019694255 Standard tmRNA". It matches the Rfam family "transfer-messenger RNA". From Rfam's summary of the family: Bacterial tmRNA, also known as 10Sa RNA or SsrA, is named for its dual tRNA and mRNA-like properties. The record is from RNAcentral. Lineage: Bacteria; Pseudomonadati; Bacteroidota; Saprospiria; Saprospirales. RNAcentral also lists the same sequence under 1 other name.